Molecule: ribosomal RNA, 279 nt
Filed under: uncultured bacterium
Lineage: Bacteria
Description: partial 16S ribosomal RNA
Rfam family: Bacterial small subunit ribosomal RNA
Source: RNAcentral
GUGCAGCAGCCGCGGUAAUACGGAGGGUGCGAGCGUUAAUCGGAAUUACUGGGCGUAAAGCGCGCGUAGGUGGUUUGAUAAGCUAGCUGUGAAAGCCCUGGGCUCAACCUAGGAACUGCAUCCAAAACUAACUCACUAGAGUACGAUAGAGGGAGGUAGAAUUCAUAGUGUAGCGGUGGAAUGCGUAGAUAUUAGGAAGAAUACCAGUGGCGAAGGCGGCCUCCUGGAUCUGUACUGACACUAAGGUGCGAAAGCGUGGGUAGCGAACAGGAUUAGAUA